AUUGAACGCUGGCGGCAUGCCUUACACAUGCAAGUCGAACGGUAACAGGUUAAGCUGACGAGUGGCGAACGGGUGAGUAAUGUAUCGGAACGUGCCCAGUCGUGGGGGAUAACUGCUCGAAAGAGCAGCUAAUACCGCAUACGACCUGAGGGUGAAAGCGGGGGAUCGCAAGACCUCGCGCGAUUGGAGCGGCCGAUAUCAGAUUAGGUAGUUGGUGAGGUAAAGGCUCACCAAGCCGACGAUCUGUAGCUGGUCUGAGAGGACGACCAGCCACACGGGGAAGGAGAGACGUCGAGGAGGGCAAGGGGAGGCCGGCGGGGGCGAGAGGGGACAACAGGCGCAAGGCUGAUAAAGCAAUCACGCGGGGGAGAAGAAGGCCGUGGGGUUGUAAAGACCUUCUGUGGGGAAAGAAAAGAAGCAGGCGAAGCACCCGCCGGUCGAACGGUACGAAAAUAGUGAGAAACGGCUAAGGUCAGG
RNAcentral lists this ribosomal RNA (477 nucleotides) under uncultured bacterium. Its description in RNAcentral is "partial 16S ribosomal RNA". It matches the Rfam family "Bacterial small subunit ribosomal RNA", at positions 29 to 507 of the family's 1533-position model. The record is from RNAcentral.